GCAAAAGACAUGGUAAAUUAUCAGCUAUAGAUUCAUCUUCCCUCUCUCCUAGGAGCUGCUUUCUGAGAAGCAUUUAAUUGUCUUGGCGCCAAGCAAACCGGGAGCAACGUGCUUCGUGUAUGACUUCAUUCAUCCUCAAUUGCUGAAGAUCCUCACGGCUGUUUGUGUGUGUGAGACCAGGGCGAGGCUGUGUCAGGAGGGCUCAGGUCCAGAACAAGCCACUGCAGCUGAGUUUCAGCAGGAGAGUUAUUGUAGGAUACUCAGCAGUUUACAGCACUACUUGUGUAAGGGCUGAAGAAACAGACGCAGGUUCAGGAGUGAUUCCCGAAGCUACACCUCAGAACCUGGCCGCCACGGAAGCUGCCGCCUCUCCUCGGGUCUGGAAGCCUCCAGCCCUGAAAGCCUCCAUCGGGCCCGGAAGCCACACCUGCUCUCCCGGCUCCAACCCAAGUCGCAUCGUGGGGACUGGCAGCUGCAUGCGGGCGCCCGCCUCCCCACCUCCUCCCAGCUGCCGGCUUGUCCUGGGCUCCCCGUGGAGUGGGGAGACCAUGGCUGCCUGGCACAGAGGGGCGUCCACCUCACCUAGGCCCCAGCGCCUGCAAAUCAGACCCAGAUCCCUAACGGCAAUGGGGCUGGAGAAGGAGACUCUUUUUUUUUUUAAUAAAUUUAUUUAUGUAUUUA
Aethalodelphis obliquidens (Pacific white-sided dolphin) is the source of this 681-nucleotide long non-coding RNA. RefSeq lists it as uncharacterized. The record is from RefSeq and is a predicted model, not a curated record. The transcript is spliced from 2 exons. Lineage: Eukaryota; Metazoa; Chordata; Mammalia; Artiodactyla; Delphinidae.